AUGUUCCCAAGGGAUUCAUCUGACAUCAUAACCUAUGGAAGAGAAGGCUUAGCAAGUUAUGAAUGUCAGAAGAACAAAAAGAUCCCAACUUCUGACGAGCCUCGGAGGGACUUGAGAGCAUGGAGGUCAGUUCACAGAGUGGACCCAGCACUUUGCAGCACUGUGAUUAAAAGUGAAGGACAUCUAUCACUCUGCAGUGGUCUUCAGGAUGGGCAGCACCCUCUGCUGUUGAACAUGCCACUCGACAGGGUUAAGUGUCAGAGGCUGUCAGUUCCCAGUGCUCGAAUUACAGUGUAAGUACAAGAUGGAUUUUUUUUUUUAAGUAAAUCUGGGAAAAAAGGGAUAGAUACAGUUUCUGUAUUUCUGUGUGAAUUGACUUUAUAUAUUUUGUCUUUUUAUACCCCCUGUUAAAGACAGUUUUUCCAAAUAAACUUUCUGAACUCUGGCA
Molecule: long non-coding RNA, 448 nt
Filed under: Numida meleagris (helmeted guineafowl)
Lineage: Eukaryota; Metazoa; Chordata; Aves; Galliformes; Numididae
Description: lncRNA (ENSNMEG00000018613.1)
Source: RNAcentral